UCGCUGCUUGAGGUGGCGAAGAGAAGCAUUGGGAAACAUAGACUUAGCGCUCCAGUGUUAGUCUCGUUUCCCGCUCCAAACAUGAUCCAGGUUUCGGCCUGGGUCGAAGAGAAAAGGGCCUUCGGGCCCUU
RNAcentral lists this small RNA (131 nucleotides) under Pseudomonas aeruginosa PAK. RNAcentral describes it as "sX8 sRNA; RF02227". The stretch from base 1 to 80 matches the Rfam family "Proteobacterial sRNA sX8". The record is from RNAcentral. Lineage: Bacteria; Pseudomonadati; Pseudomonadota; Gammaproteobacteria; Pseudomonadales; Pseudomonadaceae.